RNAcentral lists this ribosomal RNA (216 nucleotides) under Glomeromycotina sp. RNAcentral's name for it is "partial small subunit ribosomal RNA". The stretch from base 75 to 216 matches the Rfam family "Eukaryotic small subunit ribosomal RNA", at positions 721 to 864 of the family's 1831-position model. The record is from RNAcentral. Lineage: Eukaryota; Fungi; Glomeromycota.
GGGUCAGUAGGCUGGUCGUGCCACCGGUACGUACUGGUCUCACUGAUCCCUCCUUCCUGAAGAACCGUAAUGCCAUUAAUUUGGUGUUGCGGGGAAACAGGACUGUUACUUUGAAAGAAUUAGAGUGUUUAAAGCAAGCUAACGCUUGAAUACAUUAGCAUGGAAUAAUGAAAUAGGACGAUCGAUCCUAUUUUGUUGGCUUCUAGGAUUGACGUA